GACGAACGCUGGCGGCGUGCUUAACACAUGCAAGUCGAGCGGUAAGGCCCUUUCGGGGGUACACGAGCGGCGAACGGGUGAGUAACACGUGGGUGACCUGCCUUUAGCUCUGGGAUAAGCCUGGGAAACUGGGUCUAAUACCGGAUACGACUCCGCGGUGCAUGCUGUGGGGUGGAAAGCCUUGUGCGGCUGGAGAUGGGCCCGCGGCCUAUCAGCUUGUUGGUGGGGUGAUGGCCUACCAAGGCGACGACGGGUAGCCGGCCUGAGAGGGCGACCGGCCACACUGGGACUGAGACACGGCCCAGACUCCUACGGGAGGCAGCAGUGGGGAACCUUGCGCAAUGGGCGAAAGCCUGACGCAGCGACGCCGCGUGAGGGAUGACGGCCU
This 388-nucleotide ribosomal RNA is filed under the name uncultured bacterium. RNAcentral describes it as "bacterial SSU rRNA". It matches the Rfam family "Bacterial small subunit ribosomal RNA", at positions 28 to 417 of the family's 1533-position model. The record is from RNAcentral.